RNAcentral lists this ribosomal RNA (253 nucleotides) under uncultured bacterium. RNAcentral describes it as "partial 16S ribosomal RNA". It matches the Rfam family "Bacterial small subunit ribosomal RNA", at positions 524 to 776 of the family's 1533-position model. The record is from RNAcentral.
UACGUAGGGUGCAGGCGUUAAUCGGAAUUACUGGGCGUAAAGCGUGCGCAGGCGGUUUCUUAAGUCAGAUGUGAAAGCCCCGGGCUUAACCUGGGAACUGCGUUUGAAACUGGGAGACUUGAGUGUGGCAGAGGGGGGUGGAAUUCCACGUUUAGCAGUGGAAUGCGUAGAUAUGUGGAGGAACACCGAUGGCGAAGGCAGCCCCCUGGGUUAACACUGACGCUCAUGCACGAAAGCGUGGGGAGCAAACAGG